GGUCUGCGGGGCCCUCGGGUUCAAGCUGGCCACUCCCAGGGCUGGCUCCGGAGCGGGCUCUGGGUCCCGCAGGCUCCAGCAAGCCCGCGCCCCGCCCGGCGUCCCUGCGAGGGGCCCGGCGCCCUCCUUCCCUUCUCCCUCUGCUCCCCGCCCCUCCUCUCCCCGCCCCGUCCUCUCCCCGCCCCUCCGCCGCUCCUUUCUCCUUCCCAGGCCUCCUCUUCCUCUUUGUCCUUCCCCCAUCCUCGGUCGCCAGCGCUUCUCCGGCAGCCUCGUCCUGAAAUCGUGCGAUUGUGAGCUAGAAGCCUUCUGGGUCACUCAUAAACCAAAGAGAAAAUAAGGAAUUCCUUGGGGCUUAAUACAAAUCCUUGAGAGUUCUAGCCCAGAUGCAGCCUAGAAAUGUGAAGAUGAAGGAGGUAGGUAGUAGGGUUGUUAUUAAUCCUAGGGGAAACCCUCCACUAUGGGAUUCUGAAAUCAGCAGAUAAAUGCUGCAGCCCCCAGACUUGU
This 504-nucleotide long non-coding RNA is filed under the name Homo sapiens (human). RNAcentral describes it as "HSALNT0299998". Lineage: Eukaryota; Metazoa; Chordata; Mammalia; Primates; Hominidae. The record is from RNAcentral.